This 1502-nucleotide small RNA is filed under the name Arabidopsis thaliana (thale cress). Its description in RNAcentral is "ATSL198670". The record is from RNAcentral. Lineage: Eukaryota; Viridiplantae; Streptophyta; Magnoliopsida; Brassicales; Brassicaceae.
CAAGUAUCACUUCGCCACACCAUCACCAUCACUCGACCAUUCACUCUACCAAGUUACUCGACCCCCUGGUCGAGUAUCAUCACUCACCACCAUCAGCAUCACUCGACCGGACACUCGAUCACGUCUUCACAGUCUACUCAAAUCCGCACUCAACCAGACAAGCUGAGCACAAGGAAGAGAAGAGGAGAAGACAAAGUGUUUGGAAGCGGCCUGGACUUCCAUCGGAUCACGAAGCCCAUCUCGGCCCAUUAUCUCUCUAUGGGCCGAGCGAUUAGGUUAUUGGCCCGUCUACUAUCAUUUUAUUUCGUUUUGUAUAAAUAGAUGUCUUAGGGUUCUGUCCUGAGACAUCUAGUCGACAUUGAGUUUUUGCUUUAGUUUUAUUUUCUGUUUUACUCUACUGCGCCGCUUUUGCUUUUACAACCUGUAAUUCGAGAUUUUUCCAAGUUAUUCAGAUUCCGCAUUUGAUUUCAUUUGUCAUCUUGUUUCUCUACUCUUUCUCUCUUUACUUAUGCAAUAUUAUCGUUUAUCUGCGUUUAUGUCUUUGAGCAUGUUGUCUAAGUAGUGACUUAGAAUUCUUAGGGAUAGGAUAGAGUAGUUGUGGAAUCCGUAGUCUGUAGAAUGGUUAAGUUUUAGAAUUGAUUGAAUCCCUUUAGGACUAGUUGCGUUUACUGCUUAUUUCUUUCUGAUCAAUUGGAAUUCGAUCCCAAGCAUUCCCGCACCCAGAAGGUGUUCGAUGGAAUGCUUGAUCCACUAGUUCCUGAGAUAUGCGUCUCUAUCCCAAGGGAUUUGCCGUUUAGAGCGUUUAUUGACUUUAUCAGUCAGUUCUUAUUGCCUGCAUAGUUAGAUUCCGUUAAUGGGAAUUAGUUUGGGCUAGCUUUGCUUGAGGAUUUCUAUCACGGGAGUGAAUUGAUCUGUUGUUGAACCUGUUGUCUAGGGAUAGCUUGAUUGCGCUUAUUAACCAUUCAAAUAGGCUAGGAUACCACUCUACUCGAUUACCCCAUCCUUAGGAAUUUUUCGUCUAUCUUAUUUCUCUGUUUUAUCGUUAUCGCUUAAUCGUUCUCAUUGCCUGUUUCUUAGUUUUUACAAUCACUGGACCAUCUUACUCGACCACACCCAGUGUCUUGCAACAGACUGUGCAGUCGAGUAAGAUUGUCUUGUUUCCUGUCUGUUACUCGACCAGUAUACUCGACCACACCUAGUGUCUGGCAACAGACUGUGCAGUCGAGUAUAGCUGUUUCAUAUCUUGUCUGUUACUCGACCUGUUACUCGACCACAUCCUACUUCUGGCAUCAGCCUGUUGUGGUCGAGUGAUUUUAGUAAUUCUGUUAUUGCUUCUGUUUUCUACAUGUUCGCUUAGGACUGUUAGAAACCCCAAAACUGUUAUUGCUUGGCUUGACUUAGUGACUUCUGAUCACAUUUCAUCUGUUUGCAUCACACCCAUUUGGAUUGACACCUAAAAUACUACAACGACAUGAUUGGUGUUUUAGGAUAAUUGACCAGAA